This 76-nucleotide transfer RNA is filed under the name Brevundimonas phage vB_BpoS-MaInes. RNAcentral's name for it is "tRNA-Thr". It matches the Rfam family "tRNA". From Rfam's summary of the family: Transfer RNA (tRNA) molecules are approximately 80 nucleotides in length. Lineage: Duplodnaviria; Heunggongvirae; Uroviricota; Caudoviricetes. The record is from RNAcentral.
GCCGUCUUAGCUCAGUUGGUAGAGCAGGGAUUUUGUAAGUCCAAGGUCACGGGUUCGAAUCCUGUAGACGGCACCA